GCUAAUACCGGAUAACAACAGAUGAUGCCUAUCAACUGUUUAAAAGAUGGUUCUGCUAUCACUCUUGGAUGGACCUGCGGUGCAUUAGCUAGUUGGUAGGGUAACGGCCUACCAAGGCGAUGAUGCAUAGCCGAGUUGAGAGACUGAUCGGCCACAUUGGGACUGAGACACGGCCCAAACUCCUACGGGAGGCAGCAGGG
RNAcentral lists this ribosomal RNA (200 nucleotides) under uncultured Lactobacillus sp. RNAcentral's name for it is "partial 16S ribosomal RNA". It matches the Rfam family "Bacterial small subunit ribosomal RNA", at positions 162 to 354 of the family's 1533-position model. Lineage: Bacteria; Bacillati; Bacillota; Bacilli; Lactobacillales; Lactobacillaceae. The record is from RNAcentral.